AGAGUUUGAUCCUGGCUCAGAUUGAACGCUGGCGGCAGGCCUAACACAUGCAAGUCGAGCGGCAGCGGGAAAGUAGCUUGCUACUUUUGCCGGCGAGCGGCGGACGGGUGAGUAAUGCCUGGGAAAUUGCCCAGUCGAGGGGGAUAACAGUUGGAAACGACUGCUAAUACCGCAUACGCCCUACGGGGGAAAGCAGGGGACCUUCGGGCCUUGCGCGAUUGGAUAUGCCCAGGUGGGAUUAGCUAGUUGGUGAGGUAAUGGCUCACCAAGGCGACGAUCCCUAGCUGGUCUGAGAGGAUGAUCAGCCACACUGGAACUGAGACACGGUCCAGACCCCUACGGGAGGCAGC
This 350-nucleotide ribosomal RNA is filed under the name uncultured bacterium. Its description in RNAcentral is "bacterial SSU rRNA". It matches the Rfam family "Bacterial small subunit ribosomal RNA", at positions 8 to 352 of the family's 1533-position model. The record is from RNAcentral.